ACCCAUCUUUCCCCCUCCCUCCCUUACAGCAGCUCUUGGUAGUCAGUCAGAGAUUAAAGAAUUCAUGCCCACUAAUAGAAAUCAUCUGUGCGGAUCGACUGUUUUUCAGGCAGACGCUGUCCCUGUGGAUGCAGUACUCUGAACCUUGAUCAAAUGGGCCAAAACUAAGCUGAUCCCUCUAUUCAUUAAUGGCCUCCUUGAAGUUGGCAGGAUGCCCUGAAGACCUUGACUUCAGCGUGUAUUUUCAGGACUGAGAGAGCUUGAAAAAGAAAUGGAGUUUCUCUCCCCUGGAGGCUUGACUGCUGUGAGAGGUUCCUCCAGCUGGACUGAGUGAACCGCUUUGAACUCAGUUCAUCACAGGGAAGGUGCUACCCCUAUAUGUAUAGCUCCUGAAUGCUCAGUUAUAAUUAUUAUUUUCUUUAAGGAAGUCAUGAUUAAUAGUUCUUAGGUGUGGAUGACUGCCAAUGGCACCUUCUAUGGGAUGAUUUCUCUGCCCAUGAAGACGAAAGYGUGGGCCUUCAGCAGCAAUGCAGGACCUUCCUCUAAAAAUUUUGCCUCAAAGGAAUGGCAGCUUGUGGCCCAUGGCUAUGAAGGCUGUUACGAAGAUCAUCAUGAGGACAGUACAUGGAGUAAAUGCUGAGGUAACGUCAGACAUCAGGGCUUACAUAAUAUUCUUCAGAAUACUCAUUAAUCAGCUCUUCUUGUGGGACUUCUCCAGCUUCAGUCCUGAUGUAUGAAUUUUUCCUUGGGGUUUGCAGCUGUGUUUUUGCUGUUCUCUCUCUCCUGUGAAACACCUCUGUAAUGAUCAUUUGCUCAUCACUGGAGACAUGCUUCUUGGGAAACUAUAAGGUAGAAACUUUGGGAUUUUCUGUGUGUCCUGGUAGAUAAGCCUGGGUUAACUCUUUCUUUCCAGACACAGGCCAUCCAAAGCUCUGAUUAGUCAUACUGCUGUAUUUAAGCUUUACACAAUGGAAAGGAGUAAACUGAUAUUUCAUCUACAUUUCAUUGUUUCUAUGGCAUGUAACCACUUUCUUUAUCAUAUACUUUCCUCUAGUUCAGAGUAGGUAAUGCUCCAUGGAGGUGAGCAGCUGCUGGGAGACACACUCAUGAGGGAUGGGAAAGCCUUUGGAGCCAGCAGAGCCCAGCACCAUCUCCAAGGAGUAGGGUCCAGCCGCAAUCCCUGUUGGAUAAAUCUCUCCAAACUGAGCUGCUCUGGGUACAUGUCCAGCUGGAAGCUUGUAUGAUAUGGUAUGGUGAGUGAUACUGUAACAGAGAGGCUGACAGAGUUGUGUCAGCUCUUGCAUAAAUAUGCAUGACCUUUCUCUCUGUCCUACCCCACUGGAUUUUCUAGUACAACUAAUUGCAAUGGCAAGAUCCAGUCCUUUAGCUGCCAGGAUGCUGCAAUGCACUGAAGUACAGGGAGGAUGGAGGAGUCCAUGGCUGUGUGCUUUGCUGCUACGCUCCCCCAGGCAAAAACACUGAUGUGCUCCAGGAGCAGCUUGGUCCCCACCUGGCCAGGGAGCAGGGCAGGGCUCUGCAGCAAGUUUGUUGCUGCUGGCUGGAAAUGGCCCUGCUCAGUGUGAAGGUCAGUGAUAUAUUCUCCUGCGGCUUGGUAUCAGUCAAGUCACAGCCUCACCGGUGUCAGAUCUGCAAUGAAAGAUAUUCUCCUUUGCCUUCUCCUCCUUCUCCCCGGGUUUAAUUCUUUGAAAACUGUAGCUGGUUUUCA
RNAcentral lists this long non-coding RNA (1726 nucleotides) under Dromaius novaehollandiae (emu). Its description in RNAcentral is "lncRNA (ENSDNVG00000018403.1)". Lineage: Eukaryota; Metazoa; Chordata; Aves; Casuariiformes; Dromaiidae. The record is from RNAcentral.